Molecule: ribosomal RNA, 927 nt
Filed under: Triticum aestivum (bread wheat)
Lineage: Eukaryota; Viridiplantae; Streptophyta; Magnoliopsida; Poales; Poaceae
Description: partial small subunit ribosomal RNA
Source: RNAcentral
AUGGAGGGAGGGGAGAGCAGCGGCAAGAGGGCGAGUGCGGAGGAAGAAGGAGAGGUGCUGAUGAUGAUGCAGGACGGAGGCGGAGGAGGCGGCGCGCUCGUGGCGGCAGAAUCCAUGGCGCCGGCGCAGAUCGACGUGAGGAUGGACCUCACGCUGCUCCACUGCCAGGGCUGCCUCCUCCCCCUCAAGCCCCCCGUCUUCAAGUGCGAGGCCGCCGGCCACGUCGUGUGCUACCACUGCCGCGCCGUCCACGGCACCAUCUGCAGCCGCGCCAGCACGCACUGCGGCGAGCUGGAUGCCGUCGUGGGCGCCGCCAAGGUGCCGUGCCCAUACAGGGUGUUCGGCUGCGAGCGCCACGUCGUGUACCACGAGGCCGCGGACCACCAGCGCGCGUGCCAGUGCGCGCCCUGCUCCUGCCCGGACCCGGCGUGCGGCUUCGCGGGCUCCCGCGCGGCGCUCCUCGACCACUUCGCCGCCGUCCACCGGCGCCCCGCCGUCACGGUCCGCUACAGCCGGGCCCGGGACAUCGGCCUCUCCGUGUCGCACCGCUGGAACGCGCUCGUCGGGGAGGAGGACGGCAGCGUGUUCCUCGUGUCCCUGGGCCCGCUCGGCGCGGCCACCGCCGUGUCGCUGGUCUGCGUCAGGCCGGACGGCGAGGCGGCGCCGCAGUUCUGGUGCAAGCUCUCCGUGGAGCGCCUGGGCGGCAACAACAGGGACAGACUGGUCCUCAUGGCCUCGGCGGUGAGCAGCAGCGCGCUGUCCACCGGCGCGCCGGCGCCGGGGCAGGGGAUGUUCUUGGCCGUGCCGCAGGAGCUGCUCUCCGGCGACACGCUCACGCUCACCGUCCGCAUCGAUCUGAUCCGGUCUGCUGCCGCCGCUCCCAAGUCGACAACACCACAGGCUAGGACACCGAGGAGGAUGCAGUGA